Molecule: ribosomal RNA, 253 nt
Filed under: uncultured bacterium
Lineage: Bacteria
Description: partial 16S ribosomal RNA
Rfam family: Bacterial small subunit ribosomal RNA
Source: RNAcentral
UACGAAGGGGGCUAGCGUUGCUCGGAAUGACUGGGCGUAAAGGGCGCGUAGGCGGUUCGUACAGUCAGACGUGAAAUUCCCGGGCUCAACCUGGGGGCUGCGUUUGAUACGUGCGGGCUUGAGUUCGGAAGAGGGUCGUGGAAUUCCCAGUGUAGAGGUGAAAUGCGCAGAUAUCAGGAGGAACACCGGUGGCGAAGGCGGCUCACUGGGCCGGUCCUGACGCUCAGGCGCGAAAGCGUGGGGAGCGAUCCGG